AUGGGCGCAAGCCUGAUGCAGCAACGCCGCGUGAGGGACGAAGGCCUUCGGGUUGUAAACCUCUUUUAGCAGGGAAGAAGCGAAAGUGACGGUACCUGCAGAAAAAGCACCGGCUAACUACGUGCCAGCAGCCGCGGUAAUACGUAGGGUGCAAGCGUUGUCCGGAAUUAUUGGGCGUAAAGAGCUCGUAGGCGGUUUGUCGCGUCUGCUGUGAAAWUCCGAGGCUCAACCUCGGACCUGCAGUGGGUACGGGCAAACUAGAGUGCGGUAGGGGAGAUUGGAAUUCCUGGUGUAGCGGUGGAAUGCGCAGAUAUCAGGAGGAACACCAAUGGCGAAGGCAGAUCUCUGGGCCGUAACUGACGCUGAGGAGCGAAAGCGUGGGGAGCGAACAGGAUUAGAUACCCUGGUAGUCCACGCCGUAAACGGUGGGARCUAGAUGUGGGGYCCGUUCCACGGRUUCCGUGUCGCAGCUAACGCAUUAAGUUCCCCGCCUGGGGAGUACGGCCGCAAGGCUAAAACUCAAA
This 524-nucleotide ribosomal RNA is filed under the name uncultured Actinomycetes bacterium. Its description in RNAcentral is "bacterial SSU rRNA". It matches the Rfam family "Bacterial small subunit ribosomal RNA", at positions 371 to 905 of the family's 1533-position model. The record is from RNAcentral. Lineage: Bacteria; Bacillati; Actinomycetota; Actinomycetes.